UGCUCGUGUCCUGCUCGUGUCCUGCUCGUGUCCUGCUCGUGUCCUGCUCGUGUCCUGCUCGUGUCCUGCUCGUGUCCUGCUCGUGUCCAUGUUUGUUUGUUACUUUGGAUUUUGUACUUUGGAUUCAGCUUUUGCUAUAUUAAAGGCUCGCUUUUUUGUUAUAUCGUCUGCUGAACUGCUUUUGGGUCCUCUCCUACACCUCACCGUGACAUGAUAAAGGAUAUAUUGUCCUUCUCUCAUACACAAGAUCUUGUGAUGCUAAGGAUGUCGUUCUCCUUCAGCAGGACCACGUUUUUGUACAGGAGGAACUGGAGCUGCUUCAGCUGCUCGCUGUGAUGAUCUCUCUCCUCCCAAAGAAUCUUUAAGGUCUUGCUCUCAAUGCAUUCGUCCACUGUGUUCUGCCUCUCCAUUAUCUCCCUGUAGUUGGAGGACAGGGAAAACAUUUACUGACGUUUUGAAGCAACCAUCAAACAUCAACGAAGAAGAUCAGCAUGAAAAAUGUCCCUGCGGAUGUAACGCUAACUCUGUCCUAGACUUUACCGUUCCCCCUCCAAGUUUUUAUUCAUCAGGCUGUUGAUGGCAGCUUCAUGCUCUUCCCUCUGGCUGACCAGCUGUUCCUCCAGAGAUACCAUUUCAGACUUCUUCUGCAUCAGCUGCUCCUCCAUUUCAUGCCACUUAUCAGCUCUAACCACUGAGGGUAAGAGAGGAGUGUAAACAAGGAGAGGAGAGGAUGCUUCCCACAGUGUGUUUCACACAAAGUGCUUGGAUCAGUGUUUGAAACCCCCGAGCAUGACACCUUUCCAACGUCAGGCUUGGGGGGCUGUGUCCGAAUUUCUUUCUUCCAGAAAGAGAAUAUCUGACAAUAACACUUGACGCAGCAAUUUAAAGCAUACAUGUUUACACUAAGAAUCUAGUCCGAGUACAUAAAAUUCUCCCGCCCACUGAGGUUUAACCCAACCACUGAGAACUAGAUAAUCGGCUUUUACAAUCCUGCCGGUUUUUUAUGGGGAUAACACUAACGUUUCGGAAUCAAUGUAUUGAUCAUUGUUUGCUUUUACAGGUCCAAUGAGAUGAAAAAUCCCUUUUCCAUAUUUUGUGUCACUGGGUUGUCAAAUGUCAAAAAAAGCAUUAAAG
This 1134-nucleotide long non-coding RNA is filed under the name Cottoperca gobio. Its description in RNAcentral is "lncRNA (ENSCGOG00000008314.1)". The record is from RNAcentral. Lineage: Eukaryota; Metazoa; Chordata; Actinopteri; Perciformes; Bovichtidae.